Molecule: ribosomal RNA, 463 nt
Filed under: uncultured bacterium
Lineage: Bacteria
Description: bacterial SSU rRNA
Rfam family: Bacterial small subunit ribosomal RNA
Source: RNAcentral
AGAGUUUGAUCCUGGCUCAGAACAAACGCUGGCGGCGUGCCUAAUACAUGCAAGUCGAACGGGGAAAGUAGCAAUACGAGUACUAAUGGCGCACGGGUGAGGAAUACAUGGGUAAUCUGCCCUCGAGCUCGGGAUAACCAGUCGAAAGACUGGCUAAUACCGGAUACGGUCUACGGACGAAAGAUUUAUCGCCGAAGGAUUAGCCCGCGUUGGAUUAGGUAGUUGGUGGGGUAAUGGCCUACCAAGCCGACGAUCCAUAGCUGGUUUGAGAGGAUGAUCAGCCACACUGGGACUGAGACACGGCCCAGACUCCUACGGGAGGCAGCAGUGGGGAAUCUUAGACAAUGGGGGAAACCCUGAUCUAGCCAUGCCGCGUGAGCGAUGAAGGCCUUAGGGUUGUAAAGCUCUUUCAGCUGGGAAGAUAAUGACUGUACCAGCAGAAGAAGCCCCGGCUAACUCCGUG